UGAAGUUAGCGGCGGACGGGUGAGUAACACGUGGGUAACCUGCCCAUAAGACUGGGAUAACUCCGGGAAACCGGGGCUAAUACCGGAUAACAUUUUGAACUGCAUGGUUCGAAAUUGAAAGGCGGCUUCGGCUGUCACUUAUGGAUGGACCCGCGUCGCAUUAGCUAGUUGGUGAGGUAACGGCUCACCAAGGCAACGAUGCGUAGCCGACCUGAGAGGGUGAUCGGCCACACUGGGACUGAGACACGGCCCAGACUCCUACGGGAGGCAGCAGUAGGGAAUCUUCCGCAAUGGACGAAAGUCUGACGGAGCAACGCCGCGUGAGUGAUGAAGGCUUUCGGGUCGUAAAACUCUGUUGUUAGGGAAGAACAAGUGCUAGUUGAAUAAGCUGGCACCUUGACGGUACCUAACCAGAAAGCCACGGCUAACUACGUGCCAGCAGCCGCGGUAAUACGUAGGUGGCAAGCGUUAUCCGGAAUUAUUGGGCGUAAAGCGCGCGCAGGUGGUUUCUUAAGUCUGAUGUGAAAGCCCACGGCUCAACCGUGGAGGGUCAUUGGAAACUGGGAGACUUGAGUGCAGAAGAGGAAAGUGGAAUUCCAUGUGUAGCGGUGAAAUGCGUAGAGAUAUGGAGGAACACCAGUGGCGAAGGCGACUUUCUGGUCUGUAACUGACACUGAGGCGCGAAAGCGUGGGGAGCAAACAGG
RNAcentral lists this ribosomal RNA (704 nucleotides) under Bacillus thuringiensis. Its description in RNAcentral is "bacterial SSU rRNA". It matches the Rfam family "Bacterial small subunit ribosomal RNA", at positions 87 to 776 of the family's 1533-position model. Lineage: Bacteria; Bacillati; Bacillota; Bacilli; Caryophanales; Bacillaceae. The record is from RNAcentral.